Molecule: ribosomal RNA, 454 nt
Filed under: uncultured organism
Description: partial 16S ribosomal RNA
Rfam family: Bacterial small subunit ribosomal RNA
Source: RNAcentral
GUACACUCCUACGGGAGGCAGCAGUGGGGAAUAUUGGACAAUGGGCGCAAGCCUGAUCCAGCCAUGCCGCGUGAGUGAUGAAGGCCCUAGGGUUGUAAAGCUCUUUCACCGGUGAAGAUAAUGACGGUAACCGGAGAAGAAGCCCCGGCUAACUUCGUGCCAGCAGCCGCGGUAAUACGAAGGGGGCUAGCGUUGUUCGGAUUUACUGGGCGUAAAGCGCACGUAGGCGGACUAUUAAGUCAGGGGUGAAAUCCCGGGGCUCAACCCCGGAACUGCCUUUGAUACUGGUAGUCUUGAGUUCGAGAGAGGUGAGUGGAAUUCCGAGUGUAGAGGUGAAAUUCGUAGAGAUUCGGAGGAACACCAGUGGCGAAGGCGGCUCACUGGCUCGAUACUGACGCUGAGGUGCGAAAGCGUGGGGAGCAAACAGGAUUAGAUACCCGGGUAGUCCCAUGAU